CGGGACACGUGGUAUCCUGUCUGAAUAUGGGGGGACCAUCCUCCAAGGCUAAAUACUCCUGACUGACCGAUAGUGAACCAGUACCGUGAGGGAAAGGCGAAAAGAACCCCGGCGAGGGGAGUGAAAAAGAACCUGAAACCGUGUACGUACAAGCAGUGGGAGCACGCUUAGGCGUGUGACUGCGUACCUUUUGUAUAAUGGGUCAGCGACUUAUAUUCUGUAGCAAGGUUAACCGAAUAGGGGAGCCGAAGGGAAACCGAGUCUUAACUGGGCGUUAAGUUGCAGGGUAUAGACCCGAAACCCGGUGAUCUAGCCAUGGGCAGGUUGAAGGUUGGGUAACACUAACUGGAGGACCGAACCGACUAAUGUUGAAAAAUUAGCGGAUGACUUGUGGCUGGGGGUGAAAGGCCAAUCAAACCGGGAGAUAGCUGGUUCUCCCCGAAAGCUAUUUAGGUAGCGCCUCGUGAAUUCAUCUCCGGGGGUAGAGCACUGUUUCGGCAAGGGGGUCAUCCCGACUUACCAACCCGAUGCAAACUGCGAAUACCGGAGAAUGUUAUCACGGGAGACACACGGCGGGUGCUAACGUCCGUCGUGAAGAGGGAAACAACCCAGACCGCCAGCUAAGGUCCCAAAGUCAUGGUUAAGUGGGAAACGAUGUGGGAAGGCCCAGACAGCCAGGAUGUUGGCUUAGAAGCAGCCAUCAUUUAAAGAAAGCGUAAUAGCUCACUGGUCGAGUCGGCCUGCGCGGAAGAUGUAACGGGGCUAAACCAUGCACCGAAGCUGCGGCAGCGACGCUUAUGCGUUGUUGGGUAGGGGAGCGUUCUGUAAGCCUGUGAAGGUGUGCUGUGAGGCAUGCUGGAGGUAUCAGAAGUGCGAAUGCUGACAUAAGUAACGAUAAAGCGGGUGAAAAGCCCGCUCGCCGGAAGACCAAGGGUUCCUGUCCAACGUUAAUCGGGGCAGGGUGAGUCGACCCCUAAGGCGAGGCCGAAAGGCGUAGUCGAUGGGAAACAGGUUAAUAUUCCUGUACUUGGUGUUACUGCGAAGGGGGGACGGAGAAGGCUAUGUUGGCCGGGCGACGGUUGUCCCGGUUUAAGCGUGUAGGCUGGUUUUCCAGGCAAAUCCGGAAAAUCAAGGCUGAGGCGUGAUGACGAGGCACUACGGUGCUGAAGCAACAAAUGCCCUGCUUCCAGGAAAAGCCUCUAAGCAUCAGGUAACAUCAAAUCGUACCCCAAACCGACACAGGUGGUCAGGUAGAGAAUACCAAGGCGCUUGAGAGAACUCGGGUGAAGGAACUAGGCAAAAUGGUGCCGUAACUUCGGGAGAAGGCACGCUGAUAUGUAGGUGAAGUCCCUCGCGGAUGGAGCUGAAAUCAGUCGAAGAUACCAGCUGGCUGCAACUGUUUAUUAAAAACACAGCACUGUGCAAACACGAAAGUGGACGUAUACGGUGUGACGCCUGCCCGGUGCCGGAAGGUUAAUUGAUGGGGUCAGCGCAAGCGAAGCUCUUGAUCGAAGCCCCGGUAAACGGCGGCCGUAACUAUAACGGUCCUAAGGUAGCGAAAUUCCUUGUCGGGUAAGUUCCGACCUGCACGAAUGGCGUAAUGAUGGCCAGGCUGUCUCCACCCGAGACUCAGUGAAAUUGAACUCGCUGUGAAGAUGCAGUGUACCCGCGGCAAGACGGAAAGACCCCGUGAACCUUUACUAUAGCUUGACACUGAACAUUGAGCCUUGAUGUGUAGGAUAGGUGGGAGGCUUAGAAGUGUGGACGCCAGUCUGCAUGGAGCCGACCUUGAAAUACCACCCUUUAAUGUUUGAUGUUCUAACGUUGACCCGUAAUCCGGGUUGCGGACAGUGUCUGGUGGGUAGUUUGACUGGGGCGGUCUCCUCCUAAAGAGUAACGGAGGAGCACGAAGGUUGGCUAAUCCUGGUCGGACAUCAGGAGGUUAGUGCAAUGGCAUAAGCCAGCUUGACUGCGAGCGUGACGGCGCGAGCAGGUGCGAAAGCAGGUCAUAGUGAUCCGGUGGUUCUGAAUGGAAGGGCCAUCGCUCAACGGAUAAAAGGUACUCCGGGGAUAACAGGCUGAUACCGCCCAAGAGUUCAUAUCGACGGCGGUGUUUGGCACCUCGAUGUCGGCUCAUCACAUCCUGGGGCUGAAGUAGGUCCCAAGGGUAUGGCUGUUCGCCAUUUAAAGUGGUACGCGAGCUGGGUUUAGAACGUCGUGAGACAGUUCGGUCCCUAUCUGCCGUGGGCGCUGGAGAACUGAGGGGGGCUGCUCCUAGUACGAGAGGACCGGAGUGGACGCAUCACUGGUGUUCGGGUUGUCAUGCCAAUGGCACUGCCCGGUAGCUAAAUGCGGAAGAGAUAAGUGCUGAAAGCAUCUAAGCACGAAACUUGCCCCGAGAUGAGUUCUCCCUGACUCCUUGAGAGUCCUGAAGGAACGUUGAAGACGACGACGUUGAUAGGCCGGGUGUGUAAGCGCAGCGAUGCGUUGAGCUAACCGGUACUAAUGAACCGUGAGG
This 2518-nucleotide ribosomal RNA is filed under the name Escherichia coli. RNAcentral's name for it is "partial 23S ribosomal RNA". It matches the Rfam family "Bacterial large subunit ribosomal RNA", at positions 418 to 2915 of the family's 2925-position model. Lineage: Bacteria; Pseudomonadati; Pseudomonadota; Gammaproteobacteria; Enterobacterales; Enterobacteriaceae. The record is from RNAcentral.